RNAcentral lists this ribosomal RNA (238 nucleotides) under uncultured bacterium. RNAcentral's name for it is "partial 16S ribosomal RNA". It matches the Rfam family "Bacterial small subunit ribosomal RNA", at positions 96 to 334 of the family's 1533-position model. The record is from RNAcentral.
CGGCGGACGGGUGAGUAACGCGUGGGUAACCUGCCUCAUACAGGGGGAUAACAGUUGGAAACGGCUGCUAAUACCGCAUAAGCGCACAGUACCGCAUGGUACCGUGUGAAAAACUCCGGUGGUGUGAGAUGGAUCCGCGUCUGAUUAGGUAGUUGGUGGGGUAACGGCCCACCAAGCCGACGAUCAGUAGCCGACCUGAGAGGGUGACCGGCCACAUUGGGACUGAGACACGGCCCAA